UUGAAGCAGAGGACAGUGGCGGACGGGUGAGUAACGCGUGAGGAACCUGCCUUUCAGAGGGGGACAACAGUUGGAAACGACUGCUAAUACCGCAUGAAGCAUGACUAGGGCAUCCUGGACAUGCCAAAGAUUUAUCGCUGAAAGAUGGCCUCGCGUCUGAUUAGCUAGUUGGUGAGGUAACGGCCCACCAAGGCGACGAUCAGUAGCCGGACUGAGAGGUUGAACGGCCACAUUGGGACUGAGAUACGGCCCAGACUCC
Molecule: ribosomal RNA, 259 nt
Filed under: uncultured Oscillibacter sp.
Lineage: Bacteria; Bacillati; Bacillota; Clostridia; Eubacteriales; Oscillospiraceae
Description: partial 16S ribosomal RNA
Rfam family: Bacterial small subunit ribosomal RNA
Source: RNAcentral